ACGUAAUUUUGAAAGGUAACUUUCCAAAAAAUAAUAGCUCAAAAUUUACUGACUUAACACCUCAAUAUUUAGCUGCUGCCUUCAUGGCUGAAGCACCCAUCAGAGGUCGGGGACGAGGUAGACCUCGCGGUGGUUUUGCACAGAAGCGCUCUGUGGAGUACGAGGAUUAUAGCUCUGCGGUGUACAGCAAGAAGAGGAAGAUAAUGGAUGAUGUGUACAGGUUCCUAGUAAGGGAGGACUUGGUUCGAUCAGUGAUAGGUAAGGGGGGAGAACACAUUAAAAUUAUCAAGGAUGAAGCGAAGGAGCACGGUAUUGAAACUAAAGUGUCUAUCUACGCUCAAGGAGCAAACGGGACGCCUUUAAUGGAAGGAUCAGUGGACAGGGUGAUGAGUGUACAGUCUACGGUUGAGGGACUUGGUAUGGCGCUGGCUCAUCUUUUACCAUCAGUUCAGAUUCAUAAAAACUUCAGAACUGGUACCCGGGGCGGUGGGUCGUUCGGCAGGGGAAGUCAGAAACUAGAGCUGAGAUUGAUCGUGCCAUCUCACUGCUGUAGUGGGAUUAUAGGGAAAGGAGGGUCUGUUAUCAGGAGGAUUAAGGAGGAGACUAAAUCUUACAUUCAGGUUUACACACUUCCUCUACCACUUUCAGAGGAGUUUUGUGUCAGAAUUCAAAACUUUGAAGGCCCGGACUUGGUUAAUACGGCCGUUAAAAUAUUUGAAUCGAUAGCUGAUAUCAAAGGAAAGAAUCCAAUAAUCAUGUAUGACCCAAUAUUCUUCAACCACGGUGAGUACGGAGACACAGGGAGCUACAUCGACACAGAGUGGUAUCAGGAAGCUUUGAGAUCGGGAGCAGCACAGCCUACACCCUACAAGGCCAUCAGCUCUCAAACUCAAAGCCGAUACCCAGCUUACCCAGCUUACGAAGAGGCACAGUAUGGGUACGAGGAGUUCGUGCCUGGGUACGGGGGGUAUGGCGAGGACUAUGGGUACGAAUGUGGAGAUCCUUAUUAUUACGACUAUUACGAGUACCCUCCCCCGGUACCACGUGGCAGGAGCCGCGCACCCCCACGAGGGAGGGCCUAUCUUAGCCGGGUCUUGUCUAGGGGCUUCAGAGGUCGGCCUAGUUAUGAGGGCCGGGGAUUGAAGACGGGGAGAGAGAGCUCUGUUAAAAUAGAAUCUAUGGACUUCACCGAAUCUGGAGCGGAUACUGCUGGACAGUCUGCUCAAAUUUGAAAUCAUUUUACUAUCAUUAAAAUUACAAUAUUUUGCUUCGAAAUGUUUUCAUUAUUAUUAUUUUCCGGGGUUUUGUCGAUCUGUAAAUUUUUUGGCUCUUGGGAUGUUAUCAGACAGUUGAGAAAGUGUACUUUUAACGCAACCUCUAGGAGCCGUAACUACAGUUCGAUUAAAAAGUCAAGUUUUGCAUUUUAACGAAACUAAGCGUCUUCAAAUCGAAAAAAACUAAUUUUAAAUCAGUCAAGGCUCGAUUUUGACGCUAUAAGUAUAAAUUUCUUCAUCAGUGGUUCCUAAGGCAGUGUAGUACAUCAUAUAAAAUAGUGUAGUACGUCGUAUAAAUUCCACAUUUCAAGCUUUCCAAUUUGCCGUAGAUUCCGUUUUUCGGGGUUUCCGACGUUUCUCUGGAAUUGUAUCUGUUUUUAAAAGAAUAAUCCCUAUUUCGAGAUGGAAAAAAAUAAAAUAAAAUUCGUCUAAAAAACUUUUUUCAUCGACCAAUGGUAAGUUUUUAGAGGCGGCGUUGAAAGUCUACUUGUUCGAUCACCCCUUGAUGUCGGUUAUCUAGAAUCUAGAUAUAAUUUCCUUGCCCAUUUUCAGGAAUUCUGAAAUUAUCGUGCGAGCAAAAAUAUUGUGUUUAACAAUGUAAAGAUUGCGAUGAAGUUUGAAACAAAUUUUAAGUUAAUACAAUUUCAUUGACAGGUAUAAUAAUUUAUUGUUUUGUGAUAUAUUUUCAUUGAUUACAUGUGAAUAAAUAGACUCUUUGACUCUGGCUAUAUAAUCAAUGAAGAGAAAAGCGAAAAGAAAUUAAAAUCCAGUAAAAUUUGAAUAAAAUGUGUUUUCCUAAAAGAUCACGGUUCGUGUAAACUCUUGAACAUAACCCAAAAAGAUUUCAGAAAAUACAAAUCACUUUGAUGAUAUUCGCAAUCAACGUCGAAAAUGUCGUCAAUUACAAAUUAAGAGCCCUCAACUUUUCAAAUUUGCAGAUAUCACAGAUAACAACGUUGAUAGCUCAAAAUGUCAAAUUUUGAAACCGCCAUCUUGUAACCAAAUUUAAAAUGCCAAUUACAGAAUCAAGGUUCAGAGCGUGUGCUAAAGUCGAACCAAGAUCUAUCUGGUGUUGUCUCUCUUGGACAGUGGGUGUUGUAUCUCUUGGACAGUGGGUGCUGUCUCUCUUGGGUGUGGUCUCUCUUGGACAGUGGGUGUUGUCUCUCUUGGACAGUGGGUGUUGUCUCUCUUGGACUCCAGUUGCACUCUACAGCUAUGCUAUUUUCAUCCAUCACCAGCCUUUUUAUUAUCGGGACUGUUUUUGACAGAACUGUUCAGCUAUGAAUAAAAUAUUAAACUGGAAUACAGAUAAUGUUUAAUUUGUUAAUUUAAUUGGGUGGCGGAACAUAAUUACUGAUUCUGCUGGACUGUAUAUUAAUCUUAUGUUCGUUUAUUGGACUAUUUAUAUUUGUGCCGAGUUUUCAGUGUCUGUACUUUGAAACUUAACUUUUUAUUUGGUCUACUUAAAGUUUUAAUACAAACUGAGAAUGAUUUAUGUGAACAAGGAUAUGUUGUUGUGUGCCCCCUUAUUUAUCCUGAACAACAUUAUCAUCGGAUUGAAAACUGUGAUUAAAAUUCCUGAUACUAACAGUAAUUGUAAUAACUACAACAAUUGAAACGAUCGGAAUUGGUGAGCAACUUGAACUAGCAACUAAUCGUUUGCUCUAUAGAUUUAGUUUAAGCCAUCUGAAGAGACUCCUAGCUUAUGUUAAUGACUUGUUGAUAACUGUUUUCACAUAAAUUAAGUUGCUUUCUGAUGAUUUUUAAGAUUACAAAUUUGUUAA
Bolinopsis microptera is the source of this 3058-nucleotide RNA transcript. It is a transcript of the gene named poly(rC)-binding protein 2-like, with no coding region annotated. The transcript has 3 exons. NCBI's taxonomy places the organism in Eukaryota, Metazoa, Ctenophora, Tentaculata, Lobata, Bolinopsidae. The record is from RefSeq and is a predicted model, not a curated record.